CAUAGUGGAACUUCGACUAACACCGCUUACGUCCUGUAAGCAACGCCAAAGUCACCACAUCCUGUGGA
This 68-nucleotide small RNA is filed under the name Sporolactobacillus nakayamae. RNAcentral describes it as "Bacillaceae-1 RNA". It matches the Rfam family "Bacillaceae-1 RNA". The record is from RNAcentral. Lineage: Bacteria; Bacillati; Bacillota; Bacilli; Caryophanales; Sporolactobacillaceae.